RNAcentral lists this ribosomal RNA (292 nucleotides) under uncultured Parcubacteria group bacterium. RNAcentral's name for it is "partial 16S ribosomal RNA". It matches the Rfam family "Bacterial small subunit ribosomal RNA", at positions 505 to 796 of the family's 1533-position model. The record is from RNAcentral.
GUGUCAGCCGCCGCGGUAAUACGAGUACCCCAAGCGUUAUCCGGAAUUAUUGGGCGUAAAGGGUGUGUAGGUGGCAGUGUUAGUCUUUUGUUAAAACCCCGGGCUUAACCUGGGAUCGGCAAAGGAAACGGCACAGCUUGAGGUUGCGAGAGGUGAACGGAACUCAUAGUGUAGGGGUGAAAUCCGUUGAUAUUAUGGGGAACACCAAAUGCGAAGGCAGUUCACUGGCGCAAAUCUGACACUGAAACACGAAAGCGUGGGUAGCGAAUGGGAUUAGAAACCCCGGUAGUCC